This 4916-nucleotide long non-coding RNA is filed under the name Gossypium barbadense (sea-island cotton). Its description in RNAcentral is "long non-coding RNA (GBAR_LNC002906)". The record is from RNAcentral. Lineage: Eukaryota; Viridiplantae; Streptophyta; Magnoliopsida; Malvales; Malvaceae.
AGGGUGGGCACCGAAAGUAGAAAGUAAAAUUGGUUGGCAAGUUGGGUUAAAAGUUGGCAUGAGAUAAUUGCAAUUUUGGUCCCUAAUUGUAUAGGGACAUUGCAAGUUGAUCCUUGAACCUCAACUAUAAAUAGGCCUAACCAUUUCUUACUUUCUUCAUCCCAUAAUUGCCAUUCUCUACUUAAGGCAUUAUUCUCUCUCUCUAUUUGUAAAUUUCACUUGUAAUUUUUGGAGUGAAAUAUAUUUGGUAGUGCCCGAGGACGUAGGCAAAAUUUGCUGAACCUCGUUAAAAUUCUGGUGUUCUUUAUUAUUUGUUUUGCAUAUUUUGUGAAUGUGAUUGUAGUGAUUUAUUGUGCUAUUAAAUUACGAUAGAGGGAUAUUCUGGCUAGGAAAGAUCUGGUAUGUAAGCGAUCCUCGUGAUCCACCUCUCUUUCCUGGGAAUUGAACUUAGUGUGAUUUUUCAGUACAAUAAUUUUACUCUUUCACACGCUUCCGCGCAACAAUUGGUACCAGAGCCAGGUUCGUACUUGGGGAAUACGACCGUUUACGAUACUAUUCAUGUAUACGGCACUAUUUACGUAUACGGUACUAUCCACAUAUACGGCACUAUUCACGUAUACGGUACUGUUCACGUAUACAGUAGUUGGGAUUGAGGAGAAAAAUGGCAGCAGCAUCGUCAUCAGCAAGGACUACUGUGACAAAUGCAAAAUUUGAAGUAGAGAAAUUUGACGGUACCAAUAAUUUUGGUAUGUGGCAAUGUGAGAUCCUGGAUGUCUUAUGUCAGCAAGAGCUAGAUAUAGCCCUUGAAGAAAAACCUGACAAGAUGGAUGACAAGGAGUGGGCCAAGAUCAAUAGACAGGCGUGUGGUACAAUCUGCCUAUGUUUGGCCAAAGAGCAGAAGUACUCUGUCAUGAGGGAGACAUCAGCAAAGAAGUUAUGGGAUACACUGGAAGAAAAGUUUCUAACGAAAAGUCUUGAAAAUAGGUUUUAUAUGAAAAAGAAACUUUAUCGAUUCACGUAUGCACCCGGUAUGUCGAUGAAUGACCAUGUGAACUCAUUCAAUAAAUUUUUAGCAGACUUGCUAAAUUUGGAUGAGAAAUUUGAAGAUGAAGACAAGGCAUUAUUGUUGUUGAAUUCCCUUCCUGAUGAAUAUGAUCAUCUUACCACCACAUUGCUUCAUGGGAAGGACACGAUCACAUUUGAUGCAGUCUGUAGUGCGUUGUAUAGAUCUGAGACUCGAAAGAAAGAUAAAAGAGAUCACAGAGAUACAACCGCAGAAGUCUUAAUAGUAAGAGGUCGUUCACACAGCAGCAAAUCUGGUAGAAGGGUAAAGUCCAAAGGGAGACCCGCCAAAGAUGAAUGUGCCUUUUGCCGUGAAAAAGGGCAUUGGAAAAAGAAUUGUCCUAAGCUACAAAAGGGCAAGGCUAUUUCUAAUACAUGUGUAGCGGAGCAUGAUGAGGAGUCAGACUUUAGCUUGGUUGGCAUGGCAAUGGCAUGUCAAACGGAUGAGUGGAUUUUGGAUUCAGGAUGUACUUACCAUAUGUGUCCUAAUAAGGACUGGUUUUCUAGUCUUAAAGAGCUAGAAGGUGGAAUUGUUCUUAUGGGCAAUGAUAGUGCUUGUAAGACAAUGGGAGUGGGUACAGUCCAAUUGAAGAAUCACGACGGCUCAAUCCAAGUCUUGACAGAUGUUCGCUACGUACCUAGCCUGAAGAAAAAUCUCAUCUCAUUAGGUGCCCUAGAAUCUAAAGGGCUCACAAUCACUUUGAGAGAUGGAUUACUAAAAGUAGUAGCUGGGCAACUGACGGUGAUGAAAGGCACAAGAAGAAAUAACUUGUAUUUUUUAAAUAGAAGUACAGUUAUUGGAUCAACAUCAACAGUUUCUACAAAAGAUGUAGAUUCAGAGGCUACCAGAUUAUGGCAUAUGCGAUUGGGACAUGCUGGUGAAAAAGCUUUGCAGACAUUGGUGAAGCAAGGCUUAUUGAAAGGUGCAAAUUCUUGCAAAAUGGAAUUUUGUGAACAUUGUGUUCUGGGCAAGCAGAAGAGGGUAAAAUUUGGUCCAGCAAUUCACAAUACGAAAGGAAUUCUGGACUACGUUCACAGUGAUGUGUGGGGACCUACCAAAGUAGCUUUUUUGGGAGGUAUGCACUAUUUUGUUACUUUUGUUGAUGAUUAUUCAAGAAAAGUAUGGGUGUAUCUAAUGAAAAGAAAAAGUGAAGUUUUGGAUGCAUUUCUGAAAUGGAGGAAGAUGGUGGAGACUCAGACUGGUCGAAAGGUCAAACAACUUCGAUCAGAUAAUGGUACUGAGUACAAAAACGAUCCAUUUCUACAAGUAUGCCAAGAUGAGGGCAUUGUGCGACACUUCACUGUUCGGGAUACACCACAGCAAAAUGGGGUGGCAGAACGAAUGAAUCGAACUAUACUUGAGAAAGUUCGAUGUAUGUUGUCCAAUGCUGGAUUGGGCAAAGAAUUUUGGGCUGAGGCAGUUACAUAUGCGUGCCAUCUAAUUAACCGUUUGCCAUCAGCUGCAAUAAAUGGAAAAACUCCUAUGGAGAUGUGGACUGGUAAAUCUGCUACUGAUUAUGAUUCUUUGCAUGUAUUUGGUUCCACUGCAUAUUAUCAUGUAAAAGAAUCUAAGUUAGACCCAAGAGCAAAUAAAGCAUUAUUCUUGGGUAUAACUGAUGGAGUAAAAGGAUAUCGUCUCUGGUGUCCUGAUACAAGGAAGAUUGUUUUCAGUAGAGAUGUGACUUUUGAUGAAUCAACCAUGUUGAAGUACAAGGAUUCACAAAAGGAUGACAAAACCAGUAGUACUUUGCAGCAGGUGGAGCUUGAAAAGGUUAACGAUGAUCCAGCUAAUAUUGAAGGGACAAAUGAUGAAGAGGUUCCUACCCAAGAACCUCUACAGCAACAAGAUUUAAUUGCAUAUAGAAGGCCAAGAAGAGAGAUUCGUAAGCCUGCUCGCUUUGAUGAUAUAGUGGCCUAUGCACUUCCAAUUACAGAUGAUGAUGUUCCUUCUACUUACACAGAAGUAAUAAGUAACCCUGAUGGUGUAAAGUGGAAGCAAGCAAUGAAUGAAGAAAUGCAGUCUCUUCAUAAAAAUAAGACCUGGGAGUUGGUGACACUACCCAAGGGAAAGAAGGCAAUUGGAUGCAAAUGGGUAUAUGCAAAGAAGGAAGGAUUUCCUGAUAAAAAUGAAAUUUGAUACUAGGCUAGAUUAGUAGCAAAGGGUUACGCUCAGAAAGAAGGAAUAGACUACAAUGAAGUGUUUUCUCCAGUUGUGAAGCAUUUGUCUAUUCGGAUUUUGCUAGCCUUGGUUGCGCAAUAUGAUCUUGAACUAGUUCAGCUUGAUGUAAGGACCGCAUUUUUACACGGUGAUUUGGAAGAGGAAAUCUAUAUGACUCAGCCAGAUGGAUUCAAGGUUGCUGGAAAAGAAAAUUGGGUUUGCAAACUGACAAAGUCGCUUUAUAGAUUGAAGCAAUCUCUGAGGCAGUGGUACAAGCGAUUUGAUCAGUUCAUGAAAGGGCAAAGGUACACAAGAAGUAAAUUUGAUCAUUGCGUGUAUUUUCAGAAGCUACAAGAAGGAACUUUCAUAUACUUGCUCUUAUAUGUUGAUGAUAUGCUAAUAGCAUCUAAGAGCAAAGUUGAGAUUGAAAGAUUGAAGACUCAACUCAAUCUCGAGUUUGAGAUGAAAGAUCUAGGAGAAGCUAAAAAGAUUCUCGGCAUGGAAAUAUGGAGAGAUAGAGCUCAUGAUAGAGUUAGCUUGUCUCAGAAGCAGUAUUUGAAAAAGGUACUACAGCAGUUUGGCAUGAACGAGCAGACAAAACCUGUAAGUACCCCGUUGGCUUCUCAUUUCAAGCUUUCUGCACAACUAUCUCCUUCGACGAAUACGGAACGAGAAUACAUGUUGCAAGUUCCGUAUUCUAAUGCAGUGGGUAGCUUGAUGUAUGCAAUGGUGUGUACAAGACCCGACAUUUCACAGGCAGUUAGUAUAUUGAGCAGGUAUAUGCAUAAUCCUGGAAAAGGACAUUGGCAAGCUGUGAAAUGGAUUCUACGGUAUAUUCAGAAGACCGUGGAUGUUGGAUUACUGUUCAAGCAGGAUAAUACACUUGGUAAAGGUGUUAUUGGGUACGUUGAUUCUGACUAUGCCGGUGAUUUGGAUAAGCGAAGAUCAACCACCGGUUAUGUGUUUACACUUGCUGGAGGACCAAUAAGUUAGAAGUUUACACUACAGUCUACAGUUGCAUUGUCAACCACAGAAGCCGAGUACAUGGUUGUAACAGAGGCUGUAAAGGAGGCUAUUUGGUUACAAGGUAUGGCUAAAACCUUGGGGUUGGUUCAGGAGCAUAUUAACGUGUAUUGUGAUAGUCAAAGUGCUAUUCAUUUAGCAAAGAAUCAAGUCUAUCAUGCACGUACAAAACAUAUCGACGUACGAUUCCAUUUUGUGCGGGAAAUUAUUGAAGAGGGAAAAAUUUGUCUUCAGAAGAUCAGGACUGCAGAUAAUCCCGCAGAUAUGAUGACCAAGGUGGUAACAGCAACCAAGUUCGAACAUUGUUUGAACUUGAUUAAUAUCCUGCAAGUUUAACAGUUGAAGAAGGCACUAUCAAGUAUUGUUGUCAAAGGCAGAAAGAAUUGUGUGAAGAUAAGAUUAUCCUAAUCAAAUCUUCAAGGUGGAGAUUAUUGGAACCCACCCACAUUGUUUGAAAAGUCAAAAAGGGUGGGCACCGAAAGUAGAAAGUAAGAUUGGUUGGCAAGUUGGGUUAAAAGUUGGCAUGGGAUAAUUGCAAUUUUGGUCCCUAAUUGUAUAGGGACAUUGCAAGUUGAUCCUUAAACCUCAACUAUAAAUAGGCCUAACCAUUUCUUACUUUCUUCAUCCCACACUUGCCAUUCUCUACUUAAGGCAAUUGUUCUCUCUCCCUAUU